This 4057-nucleotide long non-coding RNA is filed under the name Brassica napus (rape). Its description in RNAcentral is "long non-coding RNA (BNAP_LNC005186)". The record is from RNAcentral. Lineage: Eukaryota; Viridiplantae; Streptophyta; Magnoliopsida; Brassicales; Brassicaceae.
UAUCCACUUCAAAAAAUCACAGGUUCGUGAGACAUUCAUCACGGGUUGAGAAGCAGUUUUAGAGACAAAUAACGCUAUACUCUAAUAAUGGUGGCGAUGUUAUUGCGCUCUGGUCCUUCCAAACAGAACAAGGCAUCGCUCAUCUUACAACACCUCCACACACUCCCGAGCACAAUGGGCUUGCAGAGUGUAAAGACAUGGAUGUUGUUGAAACUGAUAUGACACUCCUAUCACAAGCGUAUGUACCAAAUAGUUUCCAAACUUAUGCUUUGGCCACAACAAUCUAUCUCAUCAACAGAUUACCAAUGCAUAUGCUAUCAAUGGAGAUUCCAUACCAAAAGAUGUUUCAACGACCACCUAACUAUCAUAAUCUCAAGAUAUUAAGAUGUAUGUGCGUCCCAAGUGUGUUUCUUGGAUAUUCACUUAUUAAAAGUGCCUACCUACGCAUGGAUAGUGUUGCAAACCAACUAUAUGUCUCAUGACAUGUUUAGUUUGACGAAACCAGACUCCUUUUUCUGAAAAAUACAACUUAAUCUUCACAGAUUUUAAACUCUGAAAAAAAAAACAUCAUGAAAUAUGACUGUCGCACCUCAUCCUCAUAAAGCUCAGUCUCUGUCACUACCUCAAUCCACGGUGCCCCUGAGAUAAGUUCUUCACAUGUUGACGCAUCCGGUGACGACAUAAACACAAAUAAUGAGAAAGAGUUCAAAGAUAUGACCACCACUACUACCGACAAACAAUAACCCAUGUGCUAUUCCUCUAAACCAUAUUUCUUUAUUAUCUAAUACUGACCCAAUCAAGCCAUUUCAAUUAUACCAGCGACCCAAAACAAAUUCCAAACAAAUACCAAUACAACCCAACAAACAAUUUCAUCGUCUUUAGCCUUUCAAAAGAAACAAAACAACAAUAAAAGUCAGAACCACACAAUAUCCAUAAACCAGAACCAACAACCAUAAAUCAAGCCUUGCGAGAUGCAAGAUGAAAAAUGCAUGUUCAGAGGAAUUUAAAGCUAAAAUGUAAAACAAAACAUGAGAUUUGGUUCAUCCUUCACCGAAUCAGAAUGUGGUGGUCUGUCACUGAUAUUAACUACUAAAUUGUUAUUUGAUGAUACACUUGACAUUUAUAAAGCACGACUUGUGGCACGUGAUGAAAAUUAACAAUACGAGGUUGAUUUUUUUGAGACUUUCAGUCAUGUUAUAAAAUCAACCACAAUAAGAACCGUACCCAUAAUUGCAGAAAGCAAGGAUUCACCACUCAAAUAACUUGAUUUAAAUCUUAUUUUCUUACAAGCAAAACUCAUGGAAGAGGUCUACAUGUCUUAACCUCUGGGUUUUGUUGACAAGAACCAUCAACACUAUGCUUGUCGUCUGAACAAAGCGAUCUAUGUCUUGAAACAUUUGCCACAAGCCUGGUACCAAGAGUCGAAGCAAUAUUUGUUCUCUGCUGGAUUUCACAACUGCAAGGCAAGUGCAUCAUUAUUCUUUCUCUGGCACUACUCUGACAUCGUUUAUAUCAACGACAUAAUAGCCACCAUUAGUAACAUCGAGUUGAUCUACAACAUCAUCACCUCCCUCAGUCACAAAUUCUCUAUAAACGAUCUUGGUGAUUUGCAUUAAUUUCUUGGAAAAGAAGUUACCUGAACAAAUAAAGGACUUCACGUAAUACAAGAGAAAUACAUUAUUGAUCUGUUCACAAGAAAAAAUAUGAUUGAUGCAAAACCAGCACGACAUCGCUAGCAACCACUCCAACGCUCAGUCUUUCACCAGUGAGCAUUUACAUGAUGCAACAAUGCAUAUGGCUGUCAUCGGCAGCCUUCAAUAUAUUGCAUGCACACUCAAAGAUAAAUCAUAUGUUGUGGACCGUAUGUCCCAGUUUAUGUAUAAACCGACGGUGUGGAUCACUAGACAUCAGCAAAAUGUGUUCUUCGGUACUUAGCAGGUACAACCACACAUGGCAUUUCUCCUAAGACGACAAAUACAUUUACUCUACAUGCGUAUUCAGACGCGGAUUAGGUCGGUGAUACUAACAAUUUUGUUUCAACAAAUACGUAUGUGAUAUAUUAGGAGGACAUGUUAUCUCUUGGUUUUCAUAAAAACAAAAAAGAGUCUCUCACUCUUCUAUGGAAGCAGAAUAUAGAUUGGUUUCAAAGAAAACAUACGAAUAUGAAGUAAGAUGGAUAUGCUCACUUUUAUUGGACCUUGGGAUUCAUAUUCCACAAAUCUUAGUGAUAUAUUGCGGCAGCAUUGGAGCUACUUACCUCUGCGCAAUUUGAUAGUUUACUCCAUAGUAAAACAUGUUGUUUUGAGCUACCAUUUCAUCAGAGAGAAUAUCCAGUCUGGCCAGCUACGGAUAACAUAUCUACCAACAAAAGAUAAGCUAGUAGAUGCGUUUACAAAACCGUUACCAAAAACACUUUUUUAAGAUACUUGUUUCAAGAUUGGUGUUGACAUGACAUCUCUCUGUACUUAUAAUUAUUUAUUCUAAUUACCCUAUCAAGAGAGAGUUCAACAUUUCCCGUAUACCUAGAAAAAUGAAUUUACAUGCAGAUUCUCUCGCCAAGGAUGCGAGAAGUAGCGGUGUCCUCUUUUCCCAUAUAGAUCAGACCCAUCCGGAUAGAGCAUAUCUUCAGAACGACUCAAACCCGCUUACCACUUGAUCUUAGAAGAUGGGCGUCGACCAAAAAAAAUACUUUACAAAAUUAAUGAAACACAUCAAGCUUCCAAACCUAUAUGAUAUCAAAACCAUCAUUUUAGCUGCCAUCUACAUUUCAAAACGGCUUCAUCAAACACAUCCCCUAUUUCAACCAAUGAACAACUCACCCUCAGAAAUUAAACCUUGGUAUCUCCGUUGAAAUUCUAACCAAGAGUUUAUUGAAUUAUUCCCGCACAUUUUCAGGUGAAGUAUCUUAGCAUGAAGGCGUCAUUAGUCCAAUGAUGGACUAAAGACAUGCUUUACAAAUGACCAGUUCACCCAAACAUAAUCCAAAAUAUUUUUACUUCAUCAUCUCCUUAAACCAGUUCCAUUUCCUGGCAUGUCAGUUGGGGCACCUAUACACUUUUGUAUUAAAUUAUGUUGUUUCGAAGUUUCAUUUGUCUGUUUCUGCUAUUCGCAAAAUCUUUGUCACAAAUUGCCUUUCUCAUAAUUAACUCUACACUCAAAACCUUGAAAAUCAUAUACUCCGAUGUUUGGAGUUCCCCAAUCCCAUCUCAAGAAAAAUACGAAUAUUACAUCAUCCUAAUAGACCAUUACACCCGAUAUUUUUUGUUGUAUCCACUUCAAAAAAUCACAGGUUCGUGAGACAUUCAUCACGGGUUGAGAAGCAGUUUUAGAGACAAAUAACGCUAUACUCUAAUAAUGGUGGCGAUGUUAUUGCGCUCUGGUCCUUCCAAACAGAACAAGGCAUCGCUCAUCUUACAACACCUCCACACACUCCCGAGCACAAUGGGCUUGCAGAGUGUAAAGACAUGGAUGUUGUUGAAACUGAUAUGACACUCCUAUCACAAGCGUAUGUACCAAAUAGUUUCCAAACUUAUGCUUUGGCCACAACAAUCUAUCUCAUCAACAGAUUACCAAUGCAUAUGCUAUCAAUGGAGAUUCCAUACCAAAAGAUGUUUCAACGACCACCUAACUAUCAUAAUCUCAAGAUAUUAAGAUGUAUGUGCGUCCCAAGUGUGUUUCUUGGAUAUUCACUUAUUAAAAGUGCCUACCUACGCAUGGAUAGUGUUGCAAACCAACUAUAUGUCUCAUGACAUGUUUAGUUUGACGAAACCAGACUCCUUUUUCUGAAAAAUACAACUUAAUCUUCACAGAUUUUAAACUCUGAAAAAAAAAACAUCAUGAAAUAUGACUGUCGCACCUCAUCCUCAUAAAGCUCAGUCUCUGUCACUACCUCAAUCCACGGUGCCCCUGAGAUAAGUUCUUCACAUGUUGACGCAUCCGGUGACGACAUAAACACAAAUAAUGAGAAAGAGUUCAAAGAUAUGACCACCACUACUACCGACAAACAAUAACCCAUGUGCUAUUCCUCUAAACCAUAUUUCUUUAUUAUCUAAUACUG